CUUUGACGUUAGCGGCGGACGGGUGAGUAACACGUGGGUAACCUACCUAUAAGACUGGGAUAACUUCGGGAAACCGGAGCUAAUACCGGAUAACAUUUGGAACCGCAUGGUUCUAAAGUGAAAGAUGGUUUUGCUAUCACUUAUAGAUGGACCCGCGCCGUAUUAGCUAGUUGGUAAGGUAACGGCUUACCAAGGCGACGAUACGUAGCCGACCUGAGAGGGUGAUCGGCCACACUGGAACUGAGACACGGUCCAGACUCCUACGGGAGGCAGCAGUAGGGAAUCUUCCGCAAUGGGCGAAAGCCUGACGGAGCAACGCCGCGUGAGUGAUGAAGGGUUUCGGCUCGUAAAACUCUGUUAUUAGGGAAGAACAAACGUGUAAGUAACUGUGCACGUCUUGACGGUACCUAAUCAGAAAGCCACGGCUAACUACGUGCCAGCAGCCGCGGUAAUACGUAGGUGGCAAGCGUUAUCCGGAAUUAUUGGGCGUAAAGCGCGCGUAGGCGGUUUCUUAAGUCUGAUGUGAAAGCCCACGGCUCAACCGUGGAGGGUCAUUGGAAACUGGGAAACUUGAGUGCAGAAGAGGAAAGUGGAAUUCCAUGUGUAGCGGUGAAAUGCGCAGAGAUAUGGAGGAACACCAGUGGCGAAGGCGACUUUCUGGUCUGUAACUGACGCUGAUGUGCGAAAGCGUGGGGAUCAAACAGGAUUAGAUACCCUGGUAGUCCACGCCGUAAACGAUGAGUGCUAAGUGUUAGGGGGUUUCCGCCCCUUAGUGCUGCAGCUAACGCAUUAAGCACUCCGCCUGGGGAGUACGACCGCAAGGUUGAAACUCAAAGGAAUUGACGGGGACCCGCACAAGCGGUGGAGCAUGUGGUUUAAUUCGAAGCAACGCGAAGAACCUUACCAAAUCUUGACAUCCUUUGAAAACUCUAGAGAUAGAGCCUUCCCCUUCGGGGGACAAAGUGACAGGUGGUGCAUGGUUGUCGUCAGCUCGUGUCGUGAGAUGUUGGGUUAAGUCCCGCAACGAGCGCAACCCUUAAGCUUAGUUGCCAUCAUUAAGUUGGGCACUCUAGGUUGACUGCCGGUGACAAACCGGAGGAAGGUGGGGAUGACGUCAAAUCAUCAUGCCCCUUAUGAUUUGGGCUACACACGUGCUACAAUGGACAAUACAAAGGGCAGCUAAACCGCGAGGUCAUGCAAAUCCCAUAAAGUUGUUCUCAGUUCGGAUUGUAGUCUGCAACUCGACUACAUGAAGCUGGAAUCGCUAGUAAUCGUAGAUCAGCAUGCUACGGUGAAUACGUUCCCGGGUCUUGUACACACCGCCCGUCACACCACGAGAGUUUGUAACACCCGAAGCCGGUGGAGUAACCAUUUA
RNAcentral lists this ribosomal RNA (1375 nucleotides) under Staphylococcus saprophyticus. RNAcentral describes it as "bacterial SSU rRNA". It matches the Rfam family "Bacterial small subunit ribosomal RNA", at positions 84 to 1444 of the family's 1533-position model. The record is from RNAcentral. Lineage: Bacteria; Bacillati; Bacillota; Bacilli; Caryophanales; Staphylococcaceae.